UGGUGUCUAACGUGCAUGCGAAGUAGAGGACCUGCAUAUCCAGAUCUCUGUGAAGGUUUAUAUCAGAUAAUUUAAGAUUUGAUCUCUGAUUUCACUGCUAAUCAGGUAAGGAUUUGAUCCUUAAUCAUGUAGAUGAAUAAAAAAAAUUUUAGAUGCAAUAUGGGCUUUUCGAGGAGAAAUAGUUUCUUUCCCUUCACAUAAGUAUACCAGUUACAGUUUCAUGCUCUCGUGCAAACAAAGUCUAAGAUUUUGGAUCUAGGAUUUUGCAGAAAUUAAGUUUUAGAUCGAGUGUCAAAAUAAUAUAUCACAUAUAAUAUUAAUCGAUCUAAAAUAUAUAAAAAUACAUGUAUAAUCUAAUUUAAAUCUAAAAAUAUAUAACAAU
Molecule: long non-coding RNA, 382 nt
Filed under: Elaeis guineensis (African oil palm)
Lineage: Eukaryota; Viridiplantae; Streptophyta; Magnoliopsida; Arecales; Arecaceae
Description: long non-coding RNA (EGUI_LNC042411)
Source: RNAcentral